RNAcentral lists this ribosomal RNA (460 nucleotides) under uncultured bacterium. RNAcentral's name for it is "partial 16S ribosomal RNA". It matches the Rfam family "Bacterial small subunit ribosomal RNA", at positions 338 to 795 of the family's 1533-position model. The record is from RNAcentral.
CCUACGGGUGGCAGCAGUGAGGAAUAUUGGUCAAUGGCCGGAAGGCUGAACCAGCCAUGCCGCGUGAAGGUCAGUGCCCUAUGGGCGUUAAACUUCUUUUGUGCGGGAGCAAUAAUGGUCACGUGUGGCCAGACGAGAGUACCGUACGAAUAAGCAUCGGCUAACUCCGUGCCAGCAGCCGCGGUAAUAAGGGGGAUGCAAGCGUUAUCCGGGUUUAUUGGGUUUAAAGGGUGCGUAGGCUGGGAGGUAAGUCAGCGGUGAAAUGCCUCCGCUCAACGGGGGGAAGUGCCAUUGAUACUGCCUUGCUUGAAUGCGGAUGCCGUGGGAGGAAUGUGUGGUGUAGCGGUGAAAUGCAUAGAUAUCACACAGAACACCGAUUGCGAAGGCAUCUCACGAAUCCGCGAUUGACGCUGAUGCACGAAAGCGUGGGUAUCAAACAGGAUUAGAUACCCGGGUAGUC